RNAcentral lists this long non-coding RNA (264 nucleotides) under Malus domestica (apple). RNAcentral's name for it is "long non-coding RNA (MDOM_LNC010765)". Lineage: Eukaryota; Viridiplantae; Streptophyta; Magnoliopsida; Rosales; Rosaceae. The record is from RNAcentral.
AGUUGCAAUGUGGCCCAUCAGGCCACCAUCACCGGGUCAACCUCUCUUCUUUCCACCACCAUUUGGUCCACCUCUUACCACCACAACAUAAUUCCCAGUUCUCAUAUUUAAGUUUUGGGUAAAUUACAUAGUAGCCCCUCAAGUUUGAGGUCUAUUACAAUCGCAUACAACAACUUCAAAACAUUUCACUUUCAUACCUCAACUACUAUUUUAUUUCAAUAUAGUACCUCCGUUACAUUUUCCAUCCAUUAAUCCGUUAAAUGC